Molecule: non-coding RNA, 68 nt
Organism: Nematostella vectensis (starlet sea anemone)
Lineage: Eukaryota; Metazoa; Cnidaria; Anthozoa; Actiniaria; Edwardsiidae
Source: Rfam
AGAGGGCAAGAUUACUCGGGGUGAGUACAUCGAUCUUGCCCUCCUUCACCCCGAUAAUCUUGCGCACG